Molecule: long non-coding RNA, 231 nt
Filed under: Brassica napus (rape)
Lineage: Eukaryota; Viridiplantae; Streptophyta; Magnoliopsida; Brassicales; Brassicaceae
Description: long non-coding RNA (BNAP_LNC020877)
Source: RNAcentral
UUGAAUUUCAUACACGAACUAAUAAAAUUAGGCUAAAUCAUGCAUUGACCAAUUCUUCCUUAGUCAAACGUUUAUAAAUAAUGACGUGUCAUUAACGGAAACUUACGUGUCGCUGAGCUGUCUAUUACAAUUAAAAAUAAAUAAUUAUAAAAGAAAAAUAUUUUGUCAAAAUGGGAUGUUUUGGGAUUUCGAACCCUGGAUGUCUCAGUGACUACUCUAAGCCUCAACCAC